ACCUGGCUGACUCAGUUGGUAGAGUGUGUGACUCUUGAUCUUGGGAUUGUGAGUUUGAGCCCCAUGUUGGGUG
This 73-nucleotide transfer RNA is filed under the name Felis catus (domestic cat). It matches the Rfam family "tRNA". Rfam says of the family: Transfer RNA (tRNA) molecules are approximately 80 nucleotides in length. Their secondary structure includes four short double-helical elements and three loops (D, anti-codon, and T loops). Lineage: Eukaryota; Metazoa; Chordata; Mammalia; Carnivora; Felidae. The record is from Rfam by way of RNAcentral.